UUUAGCCAUUCUGUUGACUAUGUAGUAAAAUUUCCCUGUGGUUUUAAUUUGAAUGUAUUUGAUGACUAUGAUGAUAUCCAAUUAUUUCAGCAUCACUUGCUAAAAAUACUUUCCUUUCGUCUUUGGAUUCCACUGGCAACUUUAUUGAAAAAUCAGAUAACUAUGAACACCAAGAGAAGGCGGAAAUCUUCAAGUCAGAAAGAGAGCUCGCUGAAACCUGACCAUGUUGGCACCCUGAUCUUAGACUUCCAGGCUCUGAAACUAUACUUGUUGCAUGGUUUCCAUUCUGUGCUGCCUUCUCUUCUGGACGAUGGGGUUAGGAUAGUGAAUGAGAAGGUUCUGGUAACCAGCAAUCUAAUCUCUACCUUCAUGAGAUUCACUUUUUUUUUUAACUCCCGUAUAAGAGUGAGAACAUGUGACAUUUGACUCUCUGUACUUGGUUUAUUUCAGUUAUCAAAAUGACCUCCAGUUCUAUUCAUGUUGCUAAAAAUGACAAAAUUUCAUUACUUUUUAUGGCUAAAUAAUAUCCCAUUGUAUAUUAUACCACAUUUUCUUUAUCCGUUAAUCUGUUGAUGGGCACUUAAGUUGAUUCAUAUUUUGGCUACUGUGAAUAGUGCUACAAUAAACAUGUAAGUGCAAAUGUCUUUUCGAUAUGUUGAUGUCCUUUCUUUGGAAUAUAUCCUCAGUAGUGGAAUUGCUAGAUCAUAUGGUAGUUCUAUUUUUAGUUUUUUUUUCAGAACUUCCAUACUGUUCUCCAUAGUGGCUUUACUAAUUUACAUUCCCACCAACUGUGUAUGAGGAUUCCCCUUUCUCUGCAUCCUUGCCAGCAUCUGUUAUUGACUGUGUUUUUGAU
This 853-nucleotide long non-coding RNA is filed under the name Homo sapiens (human). RNAcentral describes it as "HSALNT0048366". Lineage: Eukaryota; Metazoa; Chordata; Mammalia; Primates; Hominidae. The record is from RNAcentral.